Molecule: transfer RNA, 61 nt
Filed under: Ictidomys tridecemlineatus (thirteen-lined ground squirrel)
Lineage: Eukaryota; Metazoa; Chordata; Mammalia; Rodentia; Sciuridae
Description: Spermophilus tridecemlineatus (thirteen-lined ground squirrel) tRNA
Rfam family: tRNA
About the family: Transfer RNA (tRNA) molecules are approximately 80 nucleotides in length. Their secondary structure includes four short double-helical elements and three loops (D, anti-codon, and T loops).
Source: Rfam by way of RNAcentral
GGGGAUAUAGCUCAGUUGGUAGAGUGCUUGCCUCCCAUGCAAAAGCUGGGUUCUAUUCCCA